GCCAAGGUGGUGGAAUAGGUAGACACGCAAGACUUAAAAUCUUGUGGACGAUUUUGUCCGUGCGGGUUCGAGUCCCGCCCUUGGUA
RNAcentral lists this transfer RNA (86 nucleotides) under Candidatus Amoebophilus sp. 36-38. RNAcentral's name for it is "tRNA-Leu". It matches the Rfam family "tRNA". From Rfam's summary of the family: Transfer RNA (tRNA) molecules are approximately 80 nucleotides in length. Their secondary structure includes four short double-helical elements and three loops (D, anti-codon, and T loops). Further hydrogen bonds mediate the characteristic L-shaped molecular structure. tRNAs have two regions of fundamental functional importance: the anti-codon, which is responsible for specific mRNA codon recognition, and the 3' end, to which the tRNAs corresponding amino acid is attached (by aminoacyl-tRNA synthetases). tRNAs cope with the degeneracy of the genetic code in two manners: having more than one tRNA (with a specific anti-codon) for a particular amino acid; and 'wobble' base-pairing, i.e. permitting non-standard base-pairing at the 3rd anti-codon position. Lineage: Bacteria; Pseudomonadati; Bacteroidota; Cytophagia; Cytophagales; Amoebophilaceae. The record is from RNAcentral.